RNAcentral lists this ribosomal RNA (704 nucleotides) under unidentified microorganism. RNAcentral describes it as "bacterial SSU rRNA". It matches the Rfam family "Bacterial small subunit ribosomal RNA", at positions 50 to 737 of the family's 1533-position model. The record is from RNAcentral.
UAUACAUGCAAGUCGAGCGGACAGAAGGGAGCUUGCUCCCGGAUGUUAGCGGCGGACGGGUGAGUAACACGUGGGUAACCUGCCUGUAAGACUGGGAUAACUCCGGGAAACCGGAGCUAAUACCGGAUAGUUCCUUGAACCGCAUGGUUCAAGGAUGAAAGACGGUUUCGGCUGUCACUUACAGAUGGACCCGCGGCGCAUUAGCUAGUUGGUGAGGUAACGGCUCACCAAGGCGACGAUGCGUAGCCGACCUGAGAGGGUGAUCGGCCACACUGGGACUGAGACACGGCCCAGACUCCUACGGGAGGCAGCAGUAGGGAAUCUUCCGCAAUGGACGAAAGUCUGACGGAGCAACGCCGCGUGAGUGAUGAAGGUUUUCGGAUCGUAAAGCUCUGUUGUUAGGGAAGAACAAGUGCAAGAGUAACUGCUUGCACCUUGACGGUACCUAACCAGAAAGCCACGGCUAACUACGUGCCAGCAGCCGCGGUAAUACGUAGGUGGCAAGCGUUGUCCGGAAUUAUUGGGCGUAAAGGGCUCGCAGGCGGUUUCUUAAGUCUGAUGUGAAAGCCCCCGGCUCAACCGGGGAGGGUCAUUGGAAACUGGGAAACUUGAGUGCAGAAGAGGAGAGUGGAAUUCCACGUGUAGCGGUGAAAUGCGUAGAGAUGUGGAGGAACACCAGUGGCGAAGGCGACUCUCUGGUCUGU